AUGCUCACUUCGGCAGCAUGUAGAUACUGAAAUUGGAAUGAUAUUGAGAAGAUUAGCAUGGCUACUGCACAAGGAUGACAUGCAAAUUUGUGAAGCAUUCCAUAUUUUU
Molecule: small nuclear RNA, 109 nt
Organism: Camelus dromedarius (Arabian camel)
Lineage: Eukaryota; Metazoa; Chordata; Mammalia; Artiodactyla; Camelidae
Source: Ensembl